RNAcentral lists this unclassified non-coding RNA (339 nucleotides) under soil metagenome. Its description in RNAcentral is "partial contains 5.8S ribosomal RNA, internal transcribed spacer 2, and large subunit ribosomal RNA". The stretch from base 1 to 120 matches the Rfam family "5.8S ribosomal RNA", at positions 35 to 154 of the family's 154-position model. The record is from RNAcentral.
GAUGAAGAACGUAGCGAAAUGCGAUAACUAAUGUGAAUUGCAGAAUUCAGUGAAUCAUCGAGUCUUUGAACGCACAUUGCGCCCCCUGGUAUUCCGGGGGGCAUGCCUGUCCGAGCGUCAUUGCUGCCCUCAAGCACGGCUUGUGUGUUGGGCUCCGUCCCCCCGGGGACGGGCCCGAAAGGCAGCGGCGGCACCGACUCCGGUCCUCGAGCGUAUGGGGCUUUGUCACCCGCUCUGUAGGCCCGGCCGGCGCCAGCCGACAACCCAUCAUCCUUUUCAGGUUGACCUCGGAUCAGGUAGGGAUACCCGCUGAACUUAAGCAUAUCAAUAAGCGGAGGA